This 478-nucleotide ribosomal RNA is filed under the name uncultured bacterium. Its description in RNAcentral is "partial 16S ribosomal RNA". It matches the Rfam family "Bacterial small subunit ribosomal RNA", at positions 28 to 523 of the family's 1533-position model. The record is from RNAcentral.
GACGAACGCUGGCGGCGUGCUUAACACAUGCAAGUCGAACGGUAAGGCCCUUCGGGGUACACGAGUGGCGAACGGGUGAGUAACACGUGGGUGAUCUGCCCUGCACUUCGGGAUAAGCCUGGGAAACUGGGUCUAAUACCGGAUAGGACCACUGCCUGCAUGGGUGGUGGUGGAAAGCUUUUGCGGUGUGGGAUGGGCCCGCGGCCUAUCAGCUUGUUGGUGGGGUGAUGGCCUACCAAGGCGACGACGGGUAGCCGGCCUGAGAGAGUGACCGGCCACACUGGGACUGAGAUACGGCCCAGACUCCUACGGGAGGCAGCAGCGGGGAAUAUUGCACAAUGGGCGCAAGCCUGAUGCAGCGACGCCGCGUGAGGGAUGACGGCCUUCGGGUUGUAAACCUCUUUCAGCACCGACGAAGCGCAAGUGACGGUAGGUGCAGAAGAAGGACCGGCCAACUACGUGCCAGCCGCCGCGGUAA